This is an RNA transcript of Amblyraja radiata (thorny skate), 2382 nucleotides long. It is a transcript of the gene named chemokine-like protein TAFA-2, with no coding region annotated. The transcript is spliced from 8 exons. The record is from RefSeq and is a predicted model, not a curated record. Lineage: Eukaryota; Metazoa; Chordata; Chondrichthyes; Rajiformes; Rajidae.
UUGAGGCGGGGUGUAAAGAGGGCUGGGGAAAGGCGAGUGACACACUCCCGGGCCCCGGUGAAUCAGGAAGGUGUCGCCCAAUUAAUUGAUCCACGGUGGAUAAGAAACGGAGAGGUGUGACGGCAGAGAGAUUUGCCACAGUACGUUUACUGACCAACCUACACACACAUACAUACAGACGGCAGAGAAAUUGGCCACGCUACUUGUCGCCACCGUAUCACAGUUGACAGAAGACCUGCACUUCGCUGUGACGGGACAAUUGGAAAUUGAUGGGCGAGAGGAAGGGGACGACGUGAUAUUUCGCGCCAGCUGUCCUACCAUAAAACAAACAAACAAUCAAAAAAAAAAUCCAGAUCUACAUGGAUACAGAUUUCCAGGAGGUGAAUCGAUCUGUUCAAUCGGCUUUCCCAAGAGAGAGCGGAGGGGAACUACAGCGAGCAAGCAAACACACCAGAGAUGGACUGAGAUAGAAUGCAGCGAGAGACUGAGGCUUCUUUAACGUAAAGGUGGAUUAUAGGUAACUCUCAGGCGAGGAGGGACUGAAGAUGCAUCAUGCUGCUUCUUUCUUCUGUCUGGUAGAAAAUUCUAUGGGGAGUGGCUAAUGAACAUAAGAAUCCUACAGAAAUCUGAACAAAAGGAUGGUUAAAGGGACACUGAUACUUAUCAUAUGUGUGAUAACCCUUUGGGGAAAAUUGAUAUCAGCUGCAAACCCUCAUAAAGCUCACCAUGUUAAGAGCGGCACCUGUGAGGUAGUAGCUCUACACCGAUGCUGCAAUAAAAACAAAAUCGAGGAGCGGUCGCAGACAGUGAAGUGCUCCUGUUUACCGGGACAAGUGGCAGGAACAACACGCGCCGCUCCUUCUUGUGUGGAUGCCUCAAUAGUUUUACAGAAAUGGUGGUGCCAAAUGCAGCCAUGCCUUGAUGGAGAGGAAUGCAAAGUACUGCCAGAUCGUACUGGUUGGAGUUGUGCCUCUGGAAAUAAAGUAAAGACAACCAAGCUGCUGGUUGGAGAUUGGUAGGGGUUCCAGCCAGGUAAUGCCCCAUUUACACCACCUCGCUGGAACUCCGAUUCUCCUGCCCAGGAAAGACCUCCGCAGGUGGCAGUUCGGACAACUAUCUGAACUAAGUGAACUCCAGGUGACACGAUAGUUGACGAGGAAGGCCAGCUGCUUUUUGAAGAUACCUUAUCUCAAUUGUUGAGUCCUGUUCUUCUUUCAUCACCCUGUUGCAGGUUCCCAGGGAGGUUGACCUGGGAAUCACCCCCAUGAGCAAAGACUGUGUGGUAUGCAGAGCUCUCAAACUUUGGAGAGAGAAAACCAAUCCAUUAAGAAAUCUCCUGGGAUGUGGAAUCUGACGGACAGAUUUUCCCCAGUCUUCUGUUUCUUGAUGGGACACACAACGGAGGAGGACUCACUACUCCAGAUCUGUUGAGCUUUGCUGCCAUGUUCCGAAAUGUCGCUCACAACAAGCGGGCCUCUCUCACUCGGUUUUAAUAGUGUGGCCGCCUCAGACUUUGACACAUCUGAACAGAAGGCUCGUAUUUUGAUGUAGGAGCAAGCAAGUGGACAAACGGGGCAACAUGGUGAUGUCCUAAGUUUCCCUGCUAUCUGACUGUACGCCCCCACACUUCCCACGACUUUGUUGCAGCCUCCAGCUUCAAGUUGGGACAAUCUGCCAGACUUUUAAAUACUUCGAAUCGCAGGGAAGCUUUAGGUUUCAACGGUUCGGAUUUUUCUUUUGUUAUAGAGGCAAUUACAUUAUGGUAAAUGUGUAUAAACUGCAGUCUGCUAUUGAGAGUAAAUGCUUUUCCAUAUACAUGAAUUGUACAAAACAGAUAGUCCAACAACUUCUAAUGCAACUGCACUACAGCUGUUCUCUGGCAAAUGAACAAAUACAGUUCCAAUGAUUUUAAUAACAUCAGUGUACUGAAACAUGUGCUCUGUCACUAAAGUACAUCUUUUAAUUUGGUUUAAGUUGUUAAAUGGAGGUACCAUUCUGAAACUGUUAAAAUAAUUUUUACAUUAUCCACAUAAUAUUGCCAACCCAAAUCAUGCUUGUUGUAUCAUCAGUUCUGCUUGUAUACAGUUAGUUAGCAAUUAUGUUUAUCAUUGCACCCUCAUCUUUAUUUGGAAUAUUCUGCGUUAUGAUUUGAUGUGACAAAAUCCUUAAAAGAUCUUAUUUAAUGGUGAAGAUUACAGUGUACGUUGCAAAAUGAAGAGAUUGACCACCCAGAUGAUGAAGAUGUGGAGCAGGUGUUAAACUCAGUGAUGCUGUAACAUGUAGCACAGUUUCUGAAACUUUUUUUACAUUUGGUUUUGUUUUUGGAAUUGUGUAAAUCUUUGCUUUCAGUGUAAGCAGUAAAUAAAAUACAAGUAGCAAAGA